This 562-nucleotide ribosomal RNA is filed under the name uncultured bacterium. Its description in RNAcentral is "bacterial SSU rRNA". It matches the Rfam family "Bacterial small subunit ribosomal RNA", at positions 774 to 1308 of the family's 1533-position model. The record is from RNAcentral.
AAAAAUAGAUACCCCUGGUAGUCCAUGCCGUAAAACGGUUGGGCACUAGGUGUGGGGGCUCAUUCCACGAGUUCCGUGCCGCAGCAAACGCAUUAAGUGCCCCCGCCUGGGGAGUACGGCCGCAAGGCUAAAAACUCAAAGGAAUUGACGGGGGCCCGCACAAGCGGCGGAGCAUGCGGAUUAAUUCGAUGCAACGCGAAGAACCUUACCAAGGCUUGACAUGCACGGGAAGCCACCAGAGAUGGUGGUCUCUUUGGACACUCGUGCACAGGUGGUGCAUGGUUGUCGUCAGCUCGUGUCGUGAGAUGUUGGGUUAAGUCCCGCAACGAGCGCAACCCUCGUCCAUGUUGCCAGCGGGUUAUGCCGGGGACUCAGUGGGAGACUGCCGGGGUCAACGUCGGAGGAAGGUGGGGUAUGACGUACAAAUCAUCAUCGCCCCUUAUGUCGUUGGGUCUUCGACGCAUGCUACAAGUGGCCGGUAACGAAACGGGCUGCGAGUGUCCGGUAAGGUGGAGCGAACUACCCGAAAAACGCCGGUCGUCGAGUUCGGUAGUUGGGUUCG